This 714-nucleotide long non-coding RNA is filed under the name Bos taurus (domestic cattle). RNAcentral describes it as "long non-coding RNA NONBTAT001673". Lineage: Eukaryota; Metazoa; Chordata; Mammalia; Artiodactyla; Bovidae. The record is from RNAcentral.
GACAAGCCAUACAAGUCUUUGGUAACUAGUCUCCUCUAGGUCAGGUACCCCCUCUGGUGGAAACAGCCAUGGCCGGGGCUAACACUGAGUGAGUACAAGGUUCAGUGAUCAACAGUGAGACUAAUGUCAGGAUUCCAGAAGGUUGUGUGGUGAGGCAGGUAAUGUCUGCAACAAGAGCUAUUAACAAUAGCUAAUUUUUGCAACAUUCACUAAUGUUGCUUUAUAUUCAGUGGUCACCUUCACUAGCAAAAGGUUGAGUACUUUUAAUUAAAAAAAAAGGAACAAUCUCAUAAUGUCAAGAAAAUAAGCAAAUAGUCACAAUUGUAGAGAGUUAUCCUGAAUAUCAGAAGUGUAUUUAGCACCGAGAACAAUAUUAUACACACACAAAACAUACAGGUUGAAAGAAGGAUCGAUGGUCUAACAAAAACCAGAAUAUAGUUUUAUAGACCACAGAAGAGAGGAGAAGGGCAGAAAAAAGACCUGGAGUUUGUAGGAGUCAAAGUCCUAGGUUUCAACACUAUGAAGUAGUAUUUGAAAGUCAGCAUUAAUAUGAAGGAAUUAGAAACUAAAAUAUAAUUUAUAUACUCCAUUUCAAUCCUUGUGACUCUUGAAAAAUUAUUUUUGUUUGGUUAAGUGUGAAUGAUAUGACUACUCAAGUAUUCUUCUGCUCUUGGCAAUUUUCUUUUUGCAUUUCUGGCACUCAGUUUUUUUCUA